Molecule: ribosomal RNA, 2342 nt
Filed under: Pseudosiderastrea tayamai
Lineage: Eukaryota; Metazoa; Cnidaria; Anthozoa; Scleractinia; Rhizangiidae
Description: LSU rRNA
Rfam family: Bacterial large subunit ribosomal RNA
Source: RNAcentral
CCUUGGGUAAAAGAAAAAAAAAGAGAGAGGGAAAACUAAGAUGGGCUAAAUUGGACGGAAAAUUCGAAAGAGCGAAGAAGAAGCUUUAAACUCGUGUUUCAAUGCGAAGACGCAAUGAAGAGAACUGAAAAAUGAAACAUCUUAGUAUCAGAGUGGUACAGAGAAAUCAAACGAGAUUCCGUAAGUAGCGGGGAGCGAAAGCGGAGGAGUCCCAGAGAGUGAGUAAAUAGUGGAAGAAAGGAGUUCACAUAUCUAAGACUAAAUGUUAGUCCAUACUGAAAGCGCGAGUACUGUGAAGGAAAGUUGAAAGAGACUUGAAAAGAUCUGGAAAUCUGUCUUUUAAAGCAGCUGUAAAACAGUGUACCUUUUGUAUAAUGGGUUUAUGAGAUAUCAUUUGGCAAAUUUAAGUAAACUUUCUUGAGGAUAAAAAUGUAGGUGAAGAGAAGUCGAGAAGGCUCUUUAGUCAAAUUUCCCGAAACCAAGUGAUCUAACCAUGGGCUGUUUUUAAGAACGAACCGGUGGUUGUAGCAAAAACCUCGGAUGACCUGUGGUUAGGGGGGAAAGCCCAAUCGGACUUGGAGAUAGCUGGUUUUCUGCGAAAACUAUUGAAGUAGUGCGUUCACAUAGGGUAUUUUUUUAUUUGAUGCCUUAUUAAAAUUUCAGGGUAAAGACUUAUCGCUUUAAGGGGGAUAGACUUUGAAGGUGAAAUUCGAAGUGGACAGACAGACAAGGGGUAAAUAGGUCCGUUGUUAAAAGGGGAGAGCCCAAAUCAGAAGUUAAAGUUAGAGAUUCAAUAAUUAAGUGUAAAAGGAGUAUGGGAUUUAGACAAUGAGGAGGUAGGCUUGGAGCCAGCCAUCUUUGAAAGAAUGCGUAGUAGUUCACUCAAGAACUCUUUUUCCCCAAAAAUUAUGGUGGCUAAAAAUUGAACUGAAAUUCUGAGGGCAGUAAGUAAUUUGCUUGGUAGUAGAACAGACUGUUGGGUGGUGGUGAGAACCCAAGAAUCAGAAGAGAUAAUGUGAACAUGAGUAAAAAAAGUAUUGCUUCAUCUCCCCUGGUUUCCAAGUCUAAGGACUAUUUUUAGAUUAGUCUAAAGACUUUGGGUAAAACAGCCUCUAAGGAGGUUAUCGAUGGGUGAUAAUAAUAAACGCAUAAAGUGCCAGGAAAUAAUUAUAACAAAAGAUUACUGUCGCAAACUAACACAAGUGGGAGAUAGUGAGGGGGAAAGUUUUUUUAAGGAACUCGGCCAAUUUUUAGCUCUCAUUAGAGGGUUAAACACAAGGCCUCGACUGUUUACCAAAAACAUAGCUCUUUGCUAAUAUGAAGGUAGAAGUAUGAAGGGUGAGACCUGCCCAAUGGUUGUAUCUAAAAGGGUUGGUAGAGCCAACUUUAUAAAGACAAUUUAAUGGCCGCGGUAACACUGACCGUGAUAAUGUAGCGUAAUCAAUAGUCAAUUAAUUGUUGGCCGGUAUGAAUGGUGUCACGAGGGUCUCACUGUCUUAAGAAAAUUUCCAGUGAAAUUGAAUUUGUAGUGAAGAUGCUACAUCCAAAUUGUUAGACAAGAAGUCCCCAUGGAACUUUACUGGAAACUUAUGUGGCUUAAAUUAUUUCUUACAAUAAAUAGUUUUAAAAUGUGGUGUUAACUCGAGGUUUAUUAGGGUUAGAAAAGCUCACUCUUUUAUUUUAAGAAAAGCAACUCAAAAACUUAUGUUUUUGGGAUUUGAUAAGUGGGACAGUUUGGUUGGGGCGACCGCCUUUAAAAAAGUAACGAAGGCGGGCUUAAGAUACAUAUUUAGUUAUGUCUGACUGCCAAGGGGGAAUCCUGAGCAGACACUUAUUUUUGGAUACAAGUUUAUAGACUAUAGUUGGAUUUAAGAACUAUCAGGGAAAUAGUUGAUGAGAAUAGGUGGGUUUAAGUGACCCGUUAAUUUAGGGUGAAAUAGUUAACGAUAAACAAAUAAAAGUUACCCUGGGGAUAACAGCGCAAUAACGUUAGAGAGUUUUCAUCGACGACGAUGUUUGCGACCUCGAUGUUGAAUUGCGGCAUCCUGGGGUGCAGUCGCUCCCAAGGGUUGGUCUGUUCGUCCAUUAAAGCCGUACAUGAUUUGAGUUAAAAGCGUGGUAACACAGCUUGGUUUCUAUCUACAAUUUGAAGAAACAUUAAUAUAACUAUUUUCUAGUACGAAAGGAUCGAAAAAUUAGUGGUUCUCUUAUUUUUAUAAGUUACAAUCAAUUGAUUGACUCGGAUACUUUUUAAAGGGGUCUUUUGGUUAAUUGCUGAUUGCUUCUAAAGUAUGAAAAUUAUAUUAAGUUGUUUGAAGUCCUGAAGAGGAAUCGUUCAUUAU